UGGAUCUUCCACAUUUAACUUUGGACAGUC
This 30-nucleotide non-coding RNA is filed under the name Rattus norvegicus (Norway rat). The record is from RNAcentral. Lineage: Eukaryota; Metazoa; Chordata; Mammalia; Rodentia; Muridae.